GAUGAACGCUGGCGGCGUGCCUAAUACAUGCAAGUCGAGCGAACAGACGAGGAGCUUGCUCCUCUGACGUUAGCGGCGGACGGGUGAGUAACACGUGGAUAACCUACCUAUAAGGCUGGGAUAACUUCGGGAAACCGGAGCUAAUACCGGAUAAUAUAUUGAACCGCAUGGUUCAAUAGUGAAAGACGGUUUUGCUGUCACUUAUAGAUGGAUCCGCGCCGCAUUAGCUAGUUGGUAAGGUAACGGCUUACCAAGGCGACGAUGCGUAGCCGACCUGAGAGGGAGAUCGGCCACACUGGAACUGAGACACGGUCCAGACUCCUACGGGAGGCAGCAGUAGGGAAUCUUCCGCAAUGGGCGAAAGCCUGACGGAGCAACGCCGCGUGAGUGAUGAAGGUCUUCGGAUCGUAAAACUCUGUUAUUAGGGAAGAACAAAUGUGUAAGUAACUAUGCACGUCUUGACGGUACCUAAUCAGAAAGCCACGGCUAACUACGUG
RNAcentral lists this ribosomal RNA (497 nucleotides) under uncultured bacterium. Its description in RNAcentral is "partial 16S ribosomal RNA". It matches the Rfam family "Bacterial small subunit ribosomal RNA", at positions 28 to 507 of the family's 1533-position model. The record is from RNAcentral.